RNAcentral lists this ribosomal RNA (484 nucleotides) under uncultured bacterium. RNAcentral describes it as "partial 16S ribosomal RNA". It matches the Rfam family "Bacterial small subunit ribosomal RNA", at positions 28 to 507 of the family's 1533-position model. The record is from RNAcentral.
AUUGAACGCUGGCGGCAUGCUUUACACAUGCAAGUCGAACGGCAGCGCGGGCUUCGGCCUGGCGGCGAGUGGCGAACGGGUGAGUAAUGCAUCGGAACGUGCCCAGUAGUGGGGGAUAGCGCGGCGAAAGCCGGAUUAAUACCGCAUACGACCUGAGGGUGAAAGCGGGGGACCGUAAGGCCUCGCGCUAUUAGAGCGGCCGAUGUCGGAUUAGCUAGUUGGUGGGGUAAAGGCUUACCAAGGCGACGAUCCGUAGCUGGUCUGAGAGGACGACCAGCCACACUGGGACUGAGACACGGCCCAGACUCCUACGGGAGGCAGCAGUGGGGAAUUUUGGACAAUGGGGGCAACCCUGAUCCAGCCAUGCCGCGUGCGGGAAGAAGGCCUUCGGGUUGUAAACCGCUUUUGUUCGGGAAGAAAUCCUCUGGGCUAAUACCCCGGGGGGAUGACGGUACCGGAAGAAUAAGCACCGGCUAACUACGUG